AACCAUAGAAACCUGCGGAGUACCUGCGGAAGGAUCAUUAACACACAAAUAUUAUUUAAAUCCACUUAAAAUGGUGGGGGUAAAGAGGACACUAAAACCUCCUGCUUUUCGCAUUUGAAAGGACCCAUCAUUUUAAGCACCGUGAAACGUUAAAGUCCGUAACCAUAUCAUCUUUGAUAUGGUGGUCUUUUGCACCAUCGAACUUUAUAUAUCAUUUUUAAAAGGCUUAAAUAAAAACCC
Molecule: unclassified non-coding RNA, 240 nt
Filed under: soil metagenome
Description: partial contains 5.8S ribosomal RNA, internal transcribed spacer 2, and large subunit ribosomal RNA
Source: RNAcentral